Molecule: RNA transcript, 6732 nt
Organism: Hippopotamus amphibius kiboko
Lineage: Eukaryota; Metazoa; Chordata; Mammalia; Artiodactyla; Hippopotamidae
Gene: MOCS2
Gene name: molybdenum cofactor synthesis 2
Exons: 9
Source: RefSeq, a predicted model, not a curated record
GGACAGCCGUCUGUCCCUUCGCGUCGCCUCCCCGCCGCGGACCCGGCCCUGCGCGGCCGGACGCCGUCGACCGCCCCGCCGCGGGGGCCGCUCCCGGCCUGGGAGGCGUGGCGCCGGGCUCCCCGGCGGAGGGCCGGUAGAAGUGUUGUAUUUUGCAAAAAGUGCUGAGAUAACAGGAAUUCGCUCAGAGACCAUUUCUGUGCCACAAGAAAUAAAAGCAUUGCAGCUCUGGAAUGAGAUAGAAACCCGCCAUCCUGGAUUGGCUGAUGUCAGAAAUCAGGUGAUAUUCGCUGUUCGUCAAGAGUAUGUCGAGCUUGGAGAUGAGCUCCUCCUGCUUCAGUCAGGAGACGAAAUUGCCGUUAUCCCCCCCAUUAGUGGAGGGUAGUGCUUUGGAGCCACCUGGGAAAAAUAUAAAUGAAGUUGAAGAGAAAUCUAAAGAUAUAAUAAAAUUCACAUCUGAGAAACUUUCAGUAGAUGAAGUCUCACAGCUGGUGAUUUCUCCACUCUGUGGUGCAGUAUCCCUGUUUGUAGGGACUACAAGGAAUAACUUCGAAGGGAAGAAAGUCAUUAGCUUAGAGUAUGAAGCAUAUCUACCAAUGGCAGAAAAUGAAGUCAGAAAAAUUUGUAGUGACAUUAGGCAGAAAUGGCCAGUCAAACACAUAGCAGUGUUCCAUCGACUUGGCUUAGUUCCAGUGUCGGAAGCAAGCAUUAUCAUUGCUGUGUCUUCAGCUCACAGGGCUGCAUCCCUCGAAGCUGUGAGCUAUGCCAUUGAUACUUUAAAAGCCAAGGUGCCCGUAUGGAAAAAGGAAAUGUAUGAAGAGUCAUCAUCAUCUUGGAAAAGAAACAAAGAAUGCUUUUGGGCAACUGAUGAUUAAACCACUGAGGUUUUUAGAGUCCUAAAAUUUAAAACUUGUAAGAAAACAUUCCGGUUGCUGCUGCAUCCUACACGUGCCGCAAGGAAAGGGAUCAGUAACCUCAGUGUUGAUGAAGGCCAACUACUAAGUGGCUUACCAACCUUAAUGGAGAAGGUGAAUUUUGGACCAAUAUCUUCGAAACUGUUCAUGACAGAAGGAAUAUUCCCAUCCGAGGAGACUUCAUAAAAAUUUAUGUUGGUAGAUCUGUUGGAUGAUGUUUGUAAAGCCGAAUAUGUUAGUUAUGCUGUUGUUCUUGAAGUUUCAUAUUUCCUUUAUUUAAAUAUAUUCUAGCUUAUUUUACACGUGAAAGAAUUGGUACAAAACAUUAAAUGAAAACAAAUGCUUCUUAUGGACUUACGGUCCCGUAUACAUUUCUAAGGCUAAAACAAGUUCCUUUCAAAACAUAUCUCUUAAUGAUCAUUCUGCUGAGAUUCUUUGUGUUACAUGUAUAUCAGUUGUAAAGUUUCUAAAAUAAGUACAGAUGUAUUACUUUAGAAUUUGUAGUGAAACUCUUCUCAAGAUUGCUAUUGUAUUGACUGCUGUGUUAAAACAGUGGACACUUGGUCCUUAUUUAUUGGAGGAAUGGAUUUAUAAGGUAGAGGAUGAUGGUAUGAUGGCUGAAAUACAAUGAUAAGAUAUCGGGCAUUCGCUCUUGCACGACCCAUCACUGGAUGCCUGUGAAACGGUAUACAUUUUGUUUAUUAUUCCUUCUCCCUAUUCUUCUCUAGUUCCAAACCAGCUCUGACGCUUUGGUAUGAAUUGGGGUUGCUCAAUCUGUUUCCACCACGGACCGUAGAGACCACCUCUCAGGCAGCUGACCCAGGAGUCUAUUAAACGAGGCCCUGGGGCACUGGCCUAAUCGGGCUCCCCUGCUUCGUCUGCUGAUUAGGGUCUGCACGUGACGUGAUGACCAGGCCAGAGGGAAUCCCCCGGCCCCCCCCCCCCGCACCACAGGACCACUCACACUGGAGUGUAGCUGAAUAUCAUUCCCUCUCUCCGCUCAUUUCUGAGAAUCUGAGACUGGAAGUCAACCAGGGUAGGUUCACUGAGGGGUGGAGGGCAGGUAGCAGGGAUGAGAGUCUGAGAAGCCAUAUUUAUUCCCACCAGACGCUUUAUCCUAACUACAGGAUGUUGAUUCUAUUUCCUAAAAAGAAAAUGAACUGGAUAUUUUCUGAGAUAGAGUUUUUUUGGUUUCUUUACUGAAAAUCUUGCCUUUUUCUUUUGUUAUGCCUUAAAAUUUUCCCCCAAGUUCUCCGAAGGAAAAUAUGUCAUAGGGACUUAAAUAGACGUAGUGUUUGUCAAGGUUAUGUCUGUGAGAGGAAACAGUGAUUUGCCAGCCUUAUAUGGAAAAUGGGAAAAUGGACUAGGAUUUAAAGCAGAAAGCCUGACUCCAAUAAAAAUUAAUUAUAAGAAAAGAAAAGAAAACAGAAAGUCUGGCUGUAUGUGCAUGAAUUAUUCCUUUUGCCUUCCAGAAGAUCUUUGUAUGACUCCUUAAGUAUGGCCAGUUUUUAAAUUGAUUAAUAUGCUCUGUUUUUACAUUUUAAAGAGAUCCAGCAUUUUUCCAUCUGUUACUUAAGUGUUCCUUCAGUUGCUUACGUGUUGAUCAAUAUAUUUAUACUAGCAGUUAGCUAUACUCAGGUGGAUCCUGUGUUAGAAGUAGUUCUACUGUCAUUUAUUUCCACCCAUCAUAUUUGCACAAAAUAAUUGCACACUUAUACAGUAUCAAAGUGGUUCCUAAGGGAUACACUCAAUAACUGGGUAGGACUUUUUUUCAGAAAAAGUAAACUCUGUGUAUGUGUGUAUGUGUGUGUGUGUGUGUGUGUGUGUGUGUGUGUGUGAUGCAUAUAUCCUGGUAGACACAUAAACCCUGCAUCUGGAAGGUAUUCUGAAAACAGUCAAGUUAGUCAUGUACAAAAUGACCAGAGGAGACAGGGAGGGAUGAUUUCACUUUUCAUUGUGUAUCCUUCUGUCAUGUUUGGAUUUUCUAUCCAUGGACAUUUAAUGUCUUUUUUUUUUAGAAAAGACGUUAAGAGAAAUUAUCUGGGUGGUAGGCUUAGGAGCCACUUUAGCCUUUUUCUUUAUAAUUCUCCAUAUUUUUUUAACUGCAUGAUAUACUUUAAAGAAUAUCAGAAUGUCUGAGAAUCCCAUUUACCAUCACAAAAAUACAUAGCUAAGAUGUUAGUAAAAGUGAAGUCCCACUUCAGUAUUAUAUUCAUUUCAUUUUAAAAUAUCUGAAAAACUUGGCUAUGGUGGGAGAAUGGAAUUAUAAAAAGGCUCUAUUAACAAAAAGUAUUUAGGAUGAGAAAGAUGCAUUACAGGUGGGAAGAAAAAAAAUCAGGUAAUGCGGUGCUAUCAACCUCUGGCUGCCUCUGUUUUCAGCAGCUUAUUUUAGCAGCUGAGGGCCCUUUGAAAUCAUCCGUUACUGAAUAAUUUUUCAGGCAUGGAUGACUUGGACUAUACUUUGUUUUCCUGCUUUUUGCUGUUUGCAACUCACUCGAAACAGAAGCAUUCUUUUCAUCUUUGCUCAUGUGUCUCCAGCUCUAGACAUACUGACAUAUUUUCCUUUUUGUUUUUGCUUAGGGGUCUGUUGGGUGAUAUACUUAGUCCAUGCUUUAGGGGCUGGAGUGAUGUUAGAGAAAUCUGUGGUCACUGCACACUUUGCAGCCUGCCUCCUUGGGGAUGCACUGCUGCGUGUCUUCCAGGGGUCAUUGAUCUGUGCUGCGAAGCUGCCUUAGUGUUUCAGCAGGUAGAGAACUCUGGUGCCCAGGCUUGGAGAGGGGUGUCACCUGCAGCCUGUGUACCUGCAUAGCUGUGCCCACGAACCCACAUCACUUCUUGAGGGUGAUAAUAUUAGCACCUGUGGUGUCUACAUGUUACUCAUCUUUCAAGACAUCUGUCUCUCUGAACAAUUCAAGAUAACUGGUAUCAACUGGUACCAUUUUGCCCGGUGCUCUAAGGUUUACUUGCUGUGCGCAGGCAAGAAAAUGGAAUAACUCAUUUUUUCUGGAUGACCUCUUUUGAAAAUGCCUCAUUUCUUCCUGGUUGGAAGAAACCCCUAAUCUGCUAUGUCAGGAAUUUUCCACCCAGAAACUAAUUUUCUGCGACUAGAUUCAGCAUUUGUGCUUGGGGCCUCAACAUCGGGGUGGGGACGUUGCUUGAGAUCUCCUGUGGACCGCAGGACACAGGUGAGGAGAAGGAAGGGGGGGGGCAACUCCUCGGGGCCCUGCGAGUUCUGCUUUGACGGCUCGUCCAAGGGCCUUCCCCUUGGCACGUGACAGAGGAUUAUUCCUGUGUCUUUCUGGUGUUGCUCUUAGUCAGUAAACCUAAAGAGUCCCUCAAGAUUCCCCAAGGGACCAGUUUGUCUCUGGACUUCUGUUUUAGUUGACAAGGAGGAAAUAUUGGAAUUCAAAUUCCCCAGUUAGAAUGAACACACAGAGGACUUGUUUAGCCAUGAACCAGCUGUGUUCCGAGCCGGAGCGAUGUCCACGCUCACAGGCUGCCCACUGUCUCACCCACCUCGUUAUGUGAAUUUCAGCAUCAUACAGCAGAGGCAGUUUGAAGUUGACUGAAUUAUCUGCCUUGUUUUCCUCGAAGCUUUCGCUAUUGAAAGGAACAUUAGGAAAUUACUGAAAGAGAAACAUUAGCAAAGCCACCCAUCAUCAAUUCAUGACUUCAUCGUGUUUUACCUUGAGGCUUGGAAACUGACAGAUGCCUGAUUCUGAAGGUUUUGAAGAUUGAAGUCGAAGUUAAUAGUAAACGUCACCUAUACACAAAAUGAAAAUUCAUCAAUCUCUGGAUGCUUUGUACUCUGGGGCCAACGUGAAAAAAAAAGUGCCCCAUAAACGUAAACUCACUCAGCAUUUGAUGCUGAAUUUUAUAAACCGUAAGCUUUCUAAUUUGUAGAAUUUCAGUGCAUUUGUCCAGCUUGCCUCACCUUCAGAAUAGAGCUGAAUUCACCCGACAUAUACCUAGCGCACACCACAGGCACUUAGACUUACCUGGGUUUGAAGGCUUUGUGCUGAUGCACUUUGCUUACCAAGGGUUAAAAAUGACAUCCAUGACUGUGUAAAGGAUGUUGGUCAAUGUGCUCAGAAAUAAAGAACCUUUAUCGUAUGUGCCUUUGUGAAUGAAUUGCAUGGGGGAAAUCCCACUUUUAUUAAUAACUGAAAGAAAACAUGCAGAUAUUUAAAAACUUCCUCUAAAUGUGCAGGCAGUUAUUUUGUGGUGCCUAGCAAAUGAUGAUACCUAACAUAAAGAUGGUUCGUUGGUGAAUUAACACCAAUGGCAAGGAGGGACCAGCAUGGAUUUGAGGAUGAAAUGCAAGGUGUACCUGUUGUUCCCUCUUUAAAGCAGGGUAGCCCACAUCGCAGGUCACAGACUUCUGAGAUGAAGCAAUCUGGCAUGUCACUUCUGUCCCAUCAACCUGAAUGAGACCAAGGAAACCAUGAUCAAUUAGUAUUCAAUGUGUGUGUGUGUGUGUGUGUGCGCGCGCGCCCGCGAGCGCGUACAUACAUGCUGAAGGAUGUGUAAACUACCUGGACAUGUAGCAGUAAGGUUGGUUUACAAAAAGACUUGAAAAUCUUGUAUGUAUUUUUAAAAUAAAACAUACUAUUUUUAUUGCUAAGCAGGACACCCAACAAGACAAAGGAGAGGUCAAAUACUGGAAUUUUUCCCCAGAAAUAAAUAUUUCUUAUAUUUCAAGAGUGCAAAAUAACUUCAAUCCACUAUUAAGAAAUGCUGUCUUUAAUACAUACUUUUCUCUCAAUAUAUUUGAAAGUUGUAGUUUCAAGAGAAAAACAAAAUAUAGUUUUUGUUUAUAUUUUAAAUAAUUUUUAAAGAAUCACUUUUAGUUUUCCUCAGGUUUUUUCUCUUUAAGAAGCUGUGACUUCCAGUGGUUGAGAAUCCGCCUGCCAACACAGGGGACACGGGUUUGAUCCCUGGUCUGGGAAGAUCCCACAUGCACUAAGCCCAUGUGCCACAACUACUGAGCCUGCAUGCCACAACUACUGAAGCCCACACACCUAGAGCCCGUGCUCCGCAACUAGAGAAAGCCCGUGCACAGCAACGAAGACCCAAUGCAGCCAAAAAAUUAAAAAAUUAAAAUUAAAUUGUAAAAAAAAAAAAGUUGUCCUUUGCCACAAGAAAUUUAAACAGUGAAGUCAGAAUAGGUUUAGAACACUAAAUCUAUUAAGUUCACAUUGACUUUAAAUGGGAUGAAACCAUUUUUUAAUCCUUUCAUCAAGCAGUGAAUUUGGAAAAUCGUGGCUUUUCCCAUCUCUCCUUUUCACUGCUUGGUGGCAGAGGAGGGACCAGCUGGGGAGCAUUCAUGGUCAAUUGUGUUCCUGGUAUAGCGAUCAACUCAACGUGAUUAGCUGACCUCACUGGAAUGCAUCAUCUUGGCAGCAGCAAGACCUGUGGUUACAAAGCUUGGGCUGAGCUGUGGGACUCUUGAUUUCUCGGAGCAAGUGCAGCUCCCAGCAUCUGUGCGGCACCGCGGUAGCCUCAUCACACAGAUGGCCUGAGGAGAGUCUGGUUUACGAUUAGAGUCUGGCUACUACUGCCAAAUGUCAGGGCAAAGGAAAAACUGACCCAAGCUGUGAAGCCGAAUUGGUCUAGAUACACAGCCAGGCUAUGUUCUCAAGCAGUUUAACUAGUUGGGAGCCACAAGUCAGGACUGAUCAUGCCCAGGGUGAAGGUGUUUCUUCAGAAAACACAGAGGACAUGGAGGUGUGCGUAUAAGGGAGAUGGUAAUUGACAAGUAGGAAACAGGUCAGCAGUUAACACUGGGUGCCUUCACGUACCGGCAUGGACCAGGAAG